GUACGGAAGGCAGCAGUAGGGAAUAUUGCAUAAUGGGCGCAAGCCUGAUGCAGCAACGCCGCGUGCGCGAUGAAGGCCUUCGGGUCGUAAAGCGCUUUUCAGAGGGAUGAGGAAGGACAGUACCUCUGGAAUAAGUCUCGGCUAACUACGUGCCAGCAGCCGCGGUAAAACGUAGGAGGCAAGCGUUAUCCGGAUUUACUGGGCGUAAAGCGCGUGCAGGCGGUUUGGCAAGUUGGAUGUGAAAGCUCCCGGCUCAACUGGGAGAGGUCGUUCAAAACUGCCAGACUUGAGGAUGGUAGAGGGAGGUGGAAUUCCGGGUGUAGUGGUGAAAUGCGUAGAUAUCCGGAGGAACACCAGUGGCGAAAGCGGCCUCCUGGACCAUUUCUGACGCUCAGACGCGAAAGCUAGGGGAGCAAACGGGAUUAGAUACCCCGGU
Molecule: ribosomal RNA, 436 nt
Filed under: uncultured bacterium
Lineage: Bacteria
Description: bacterial SSU rRNA
Rfam family: Bacterial small subunit ribosomal RNA
Source: RNAcentral